Molecule: ribosomal RNA, 409 nt
Filed under: uncultured Porphyromonadaceae bacterium
Lineage: Bacteria; Pseudomonadati; Bacteroidota; Bacteroidia; Bacteroidales; Porphyromonadaceae
Description: bacterial SSU rRNA
Rfam family: Bacterial small subunit ribosomal RNA
Source: RNAcentral
UGAGGAAUAUUGGUCAAUGGGCGAGAGCCUGAACCAGCCAAGUAGCGUGAGGGAUGACUGCCCUAUGGGUUGUAAACCUCUUUUGAUUGGGAACAAAGAGCGCCACGUGUGGUGCGUUGCGUGUACCUUUCGAAUAGGCAUCGGCUAAUUCCGUGCCAGCAGCCGCGGUAAUACGGAAGAUGCGAGCGUUAUCCGGAUUUAUUGGGUUUAAAGGGUGCGCAGGCGGCGUGCCAAGUCAGCGGUCAAAGUUCCGGGCUCAACCCGGUGAUGCCGUUGAAACUGGUGUGCUUGAGUGCGUGCGAGGGAGGCGGAAUGCGUUGUGUAGCGGUGAAAUGCAUAGAUAUGACGCAGAGCUCCGAUUGCGAAGGCAGCUUUCCAGCACGCCACUGACGCUGAGGCACGAAAGCGU